Molecule: ribosomal RNA, 493 nt
Filed under: uncultured bacterium
Lineage: Bacteria
Description: bacterial SSU rRNA
Rfam family: Bacterial small subunit ribosomal RNA
Source: RNAcentral
GGCGGCGUGCCUAACACAUGCAAGUCGUACGAGAAAGUUGGCUUCGGCCGAUGAGUAAAGUGGCGCACGGGUGAGUAAUGCGUGGAUAAUCUGCCCUUUAGUUGGGAAUAACGUACCGAAAGGUGCGCUAAUACCUGAUAAUACUGCAUAACUACUGUUGUGUAGUCAAAGAAGGCCUCUGUUUACAAGCUUUUGCUGAAGGAUGAGUCCGCGUACCAUUAGCUGGUUGGUGGGGUAAUGGCCUACCAAGGCUACGAUGGUUAGCUGGUCUGAGAGGAUGAUCAGCCACACUGGAACUGAGACACGGUCCAGACUCCUACGGGAGGCAGCAGUGAGGAAUAUUGCGCAAUGGGGGCAACCCUGACGCAGCAACGCCGCGUGAGUGAGGAAGGUUUUCGGACCGUAAAGCUCUGUCGAGCGGGAAGAACACCAUGGGGACGAAUAAGCUUCAUGGCUGACGGUACCACCAGAGGAAGCACCGGCUAACUCCGUG